This 1239-nucleotide long non-coding RNA is filed under the name Triticum aestivum (bread wheat). RNAcentral describes it as "long non-coding RNA (TAES_LNC000436)". Lineage: Eukaryota; Viridiplantae; Streptophyta; Magnoliopsida; Poales; Poaceae. The record is from RNAcentral.
CGACUCCGCUCCUCCCUCCCCGCAUGCACCUAGCACCUCGUUGAGUGAGGAGUUCUUGGUGUUCACCUUCUACAAGCUGGUGCCCUUCGACGACCCCCGCGCACACCUCCACUUCGUGCAGGUCGGUCCACUUCUCCAUCGGGCCAUUUAGUUUCAGUUCAGUUCACCAUAUUUGGGAUAUAUGAUGAAGGGCUGGAUUUUUUGUACACAUUACAUCUCUUCUAUACCAGGUUAGGAAGAUUACUUGGAUGCUUUUCAGGCUUCUCCAGCAUUAACCGGGCAUGCUCUCCAGUACAAACAAUGACUUAUUCAGGUACGUUUAGUUCAGUACCUUCAUACAUUUCAGAGUUGUUGAUAUUAACACAACAACUUGUUAGAAUUCGGUACCUUCAGGUUUGUGUCAAAGUUGUUGUGGAUCGAUUCAGUACCUUCACAAAUUUAGAGCUGUUGAUAUGGGUGGGGUACUAGUUUCAAACAAGAUCACAGCAAAAUGAUAAUGACAAUUUAACAGAAUCACGGAAACUUGUUUGAAACUGGUACUGCAAAAUCAAAUUCUAGUGAACCUUGACUGAAUCAUGCACACACAGAAACGAGUGAAAUUUGAUAGUCAAAUUUAACUUGUUAUUCUGGGCGAAACUUGACUAAAUCACAAUGUUUACUACAAAAUCAAAUUAUAGUGAAACUUGAAUGAAUCAUUCAAUGACAAUGACAAUGAUAUAGGUGAAACUUGACUGAAUCAUGCAAACACAUUCAGUAAUUGACUUGUUCUCAUCUAACUUUAAUUGCAAAAUGACAAUACUAGCGAAACUCAAAAAACCUUUAUUUGUUUGCUGGUUCAGUUAGCCAGCAGAAACUUUAUUUUCUGAAACCACAAUCACAAUGAUAAUUCUUGUGGUUGUUCUCAUCUCACUACCAAUCAAUUCUUGUACCGAAACUACAAUGACAUUUUGGUUCUGAAGAACCUAUAUUUAAUGGUUCUGAAUAACCUCUGCUGGCUAUAUAUGUCCAGUAGGAUGUACUCUUGCAAGCCACAACCAACUCUGGUUGUUUCAUCUGACAAUGACAAUUCUCGUUGUUCUCAUGCCACCGUUUCUGAAGUAGGGAAAUUACUGGAGUAGCUGGCAUCAGUUGAUCAAUUUCAUCAGAGGUCAUGUUCAGCUGCAGAAACUGUGUUUGGCACACAUCGGAGGUCAUGUACUGCAUAUGAUCAAAUUAGAGAACAAGCAAGGAGUAUCAUCC